UACGUAGGGGGCAAGCGUUGUCCGGAAUUAUUGGGCGUAAAGAGCGUGUAGGCGGCCCGGUAAGUCCGCUGUGAAAGUCGGGGGCUCAACCCUCGGAUGCCGGUGGAUACUGUCGGGCUCGAGUACGGAAGAGGCGAGUGGAAUUCCUGGUGUAGCGGUGAAAUGCGCAGAUAUCAGGAGGAACACCAAUUGCGAAGGCAGCUCGCUGGGACGUUACUGACGCUGAGACGCGAAAGCGUGGGGAGCAAACAGG
This 253-nucleotide ribosomal RNA is filed under the name uncultured bacterium. RNAcentral's name for it is "partial 16S ribosomal RNA". It matches the Rfam family "Bacterial small subunit ribosomal RNA", at positions 524 to 776 of the family's 1533-position model. The record is from RNAcentral.